Molecule: ribosomal RNA, 771 nt
Filed under: Triticum aestivum (bread wheat)
Lineage: Eukaryota; Viridiplantae; Streptophyta; Magnoliopsida; Poales; Poaceae
Description: partial small subunit ribosomal RNA
Source: RNAcentral
AUGUCGCCGCCCCUCGAGCCGCACGACUACAUCGGCCUCUCCGCCCCCACCUCCUCCUCCUCCUGCUCCUCCUCGCCCAGCCCCGCCGCCGAGGCCGGGCCCCGCCUCACGCUCCGCCUCGGCCUCCCGGGAUCCGAGUCCCCCGACCGCGACGGCUCCGUCGACGUCGUCGCGCCGGCGCUCACCCUCGGCCCCGCCUCCCACAAGGCCGCCUCCAAGCGCGCCUUCCCCGACGCCUCCCCCCGCCGCGGAUGCUCCGCCACCGCCAGGGCCGAGGAGAAGCCGCCCUCCGCAGCCCCGCCGGCCGCCAAGGCGCAGGUUGUGGGAUGGCCGCCCGUGCGCAACUACCGGAAGAACACGCUGGCGGCGAGCGCCUCCAAGGCCAAGGGGGCAGACGACGGCGCGCCUCACUACGUGAAGGUGAGCAUGGAUGGCGCCCCGUACCUCAGGAAGGUGGACCUCAAGAUGUAUUCCAGCUACGAGGAUCUCUCCAUGGCACUUCAGAAGAUGUUCAGCUGCUUCAUCACUGGUCAAAGCUCGCUGCGCAAACCAUCAACCAAGGACAGGCUCACUAAUCGUUCAAAUGUUGAUUCCCUCCAAGAUCAAGAGUAUGUCCUUACAUACGAAGACAAGGACGCUGACUGGAUGCUUGUCGGUGAUCUUCCAUGGGAUUUGUUUACCACAAUAUGCAGGAAACUGAAAAUCAUGAGAGGAUCUGAUGCAGCUGGAAUAGCUCCAAGAUCCCUAGAGCAGACAGGUCAGAACAAAUAA